UAGGAAUGUCAAUGACUAUGGAUGCCCGAAAUUUUAUCCGAACCCGAAUCCGAACGAAGCAAAUUUAUUCGAUGCUAAAUAAAUAUGGUUUUGGAUGUGAAUAUCAAAAACAAAAAUCCGACAGAUAUGAAUACGAAUAUAGAUUUUGACUGUAUCGGACCCGAAGCUGAAUAUCACCCGAACCCGAUCCGAAUCUAAAUUUAUUUUACAUUAUAUAUAAUAUGCAUAUAAAAAUUUGAUAUUAUAUUUGAAUUUGUAUUUUAAAAUUUUAAAUUUAAUAAAAAAAAUUUUGAAAUAUUGAAAAAAGAAAUAAUUAUUUCGGGUUCGGAUUUUCGGGGUCGGAUUCGGGUUUUGGAUUUUUGGUUGGGUUCGGGUUUGAAUAUGGAUUUUAAAAACCCGUCGGGUUCGGGUUUUAGGUUUGGAGUCGGGUUCGGAUUUGAGUUUUUAAAAAUCCGCCCUGAAUCCGACACGUUGACAUCCCUACUUAUCCAAACUAUGGACUGUUUAAUCUUUCAAUUCAAUUUGCUCGAUUUGUAUUAUUCAAUAGUAUUUUGACUUUAAAAUUUAGGCUAAUUAUAUUUUUAAUAAAUCUAUAGUUACAAAAAUUGCUUGAAAUAUUUAUAUCUAUAUCUAUAUCUAUAUCUAUACUAUAUAUAAAAGCGUAUAAGAAUUCCGACAAUGACAGAUGGAAUUCAAAAAGGUAUAAAAUAAUGAUUAAUUUGUUAAAAAUAUCUCAAAUAAAAAUGAACGAGUAUGAUCCAUUUAUUAAAUUCUACUAUAUCCAAAAAAAUUAAAAUAAUAUUCCCUACGAAUAGGUAUGAUUAAUUUGUUAAAAAUAUCUCAAUAAAAACGAGGGCUCUUUUUUGCAUUUAGCCCCUUGGCAAAUUCUUAUUUUAAAAUUAGCCCUGUCAAAAUUUAAUUUGCAAAAAUGGCCCUGGGCCUGCCACGCAGGCGCGCCACGCGGGCAGGACUGGGCCCAUGUGUUAAGUUGAACACGGUGAACCACUCACCAUGUUCAAACACGGUGAAUGGUUCACCGUAUUUAGUACGUAUUUUUUGUAUAUUUAAAAGAGGAAUAGGGAGUAGGUAUGUCAAUAGGUAUGGAUAUCCGAAAUAUUAUCCGAAUCCAAAUCCGAAUAAAUUAUAUAUAUAUACAUAAUUUAUUUUUAUUUAUUUAUACAAUAUAUAAAAUAUUUAAUAAUUUUUAUUUCUUAGAUCUUCAUCCAACGGUAUAGAUUUUUAAAACCCACUGGAUUCAGGUUCGGAUUUCGAGUUUUUGGUCGGAUAUGGAUAUGGGUAUGAAUUUUUAAAAUCCUUCGGGUUCGGAUCCGGGUUUGGAUUUUAAUUUGAUUUUCGGAUUCGGGUUCGAAUUUUUGAAAAAGAGAAGAAAAGGAAUACAAAUUCCCUAUUCCUCUUUUCAAUAUACAAAAAAUACGUACUAAACACGGUGAAUGAUUCACCGUGUCUUAAACACGGUGAUUCACCGUGUUUAACUUAACUACCGCACCCAGCCCGGCCCGUGUGGUGCUGACGUGGCGCCUGCGUGGCAGGCCUAGAGCCAUUUUUGCAAAUUAAAUUUUGACAGGGCUAUUUUUAAAAUAAAAAUUUGCCAGGGGACUAAAUGCAAAAAAAGCCCUAAAAACGAAAAUUUAUGAUUAAUCUAUUAAAUCUCUACUAUAUCCAAAAAAAAAAAAAUAAUAUUCCCUACGAAUAGUUAUGAUUAAUUUGUUAAAAAUAUCUCAAAUAAAAACGAACGGUUAUGAUCAAUCCAUUAAAUCUCUACUAUAUAUAAAAAUCUAUUUCUUACUAAUUGUUAUGAUCAAUUUGUUAAAAAAAUAUACCAAAUAAAAAUAGUUAUGAUCAAUCUAUUAAAAAAUAGCAUUUCUAUCUAUCUAUAAAUUCAACCCUACGAACGAUUAUAAUCAAUUUGUUAAAACAUAUCUCAAAUAAAAAUAAAUGGUUAUGA
Molecule: long non-coding RNA, 1966 nt
Filed under: Ananas comosus (pineapple)
Lineage: Eukaryota; Viridiplantae; Streptophyta; Magnoliopsida; Poales; Bromeliaceae
Description: long non-coding RNA (ACOM_LNC042505)
Source: RNAcentral